GGAUAUAACUCAGUUGGUAGAAUGCUUGCCUCACAUUCACGAAGCCUUGGGUUCAAUUCCCAGCACCA
RNAcentral lists this transfer RNA (68 nucleotides) under Marmota monax (woodchuck). RNAcentral's name for it is "tRNA.Val". The record is from RNAcentral. Lineage: Eukaryota; Metazoa; Chordata; Mammalia; Rodentia; Sciuridae.